UAAACGGACCAUCGAGUAUCCAUUGGAGGGCAAGUCUGGUGCCAGCAGCUGCGGUAAUACCAGCUCCAAUAGCGUAUAUUAAAGUUGUUGCAGUUAAAAAGCUCGUAGUUGGACUUGUGUGCGCUGUCCGCGGGUGGCCUGCGCCCAAAAGGGCGUUUCGGUUCGGCCCCGGUGGCGCCUUGAAAUCUGCAGCUGGGGGGACGUUGGCCUUAACUGGUCGGCGACCGCACGCCGGCUGCUCGGUUACUGUGAGAAAAUUAGAGUGUUCAAGGCAGGCAUUGGAUGCAAUUGAAUACAUUAGCAUGGAAUAAUAAAAUAUGGCUCCUGCCGUAUUUUGUUGGUUUUGACUGGUGGGAGUAAUGAUUGAUAGGGACGGUUGGGGGUGCUAGUAUUGAGCGGCCAGAGGUGAAAUUCAUGGAUUCGCUCAAGACUAACUUAUGCGAAAGCAUUCACCAAGGACGUCCUCUUUAAUCAAGAACGAAAGUUGGGGGAUCGAAGACGAUCAGAUACCGUCGUAGUCUCAACCAUAAACUAUGUCGACUUGGGAUCGGCGGUAGUUUUUUCAUUAAGACACUGUCGGGACCACGGGAGAAAUCAAAGUGUCUGGACUCUGGGGGAAGUAUGGUCGCAAGGCUGAAACUUGAAGGAAUUGACGGAAGGGCACCACCAGGAGUGGAGCCUGCGGCUUAAUUUGACCCAACACGGGGAAACUUACCAGGUCCAGAGAUGUAGAGGAUUGACAGAUUGAAGCUCUUUCUUGAUCACUUCGGUGGUGGUGCAUGGCCGUUCUUAGUUGGUGGAGUGAUUUGUCUGGUUAAUUCCGUUAACGAACGAGACCUCAGCCUGCUAGUGUAGUCGGCUGGAUUGCCUUUGGCGAUCCGUGAUUUCGACUUCUUAGAGGGACAAUCGACGCGCAGUCGAUGGAAGUUUGAGGCAAUAACAGGUCUGUGAUGCCCUUAGAUGUUCUGGGCCGCACGCGCGCUACACUGCUGGGCUCAGCGAGUUUUACUUGGCCGAGAGGCCCGGUUAAUCUUGUGAAAUCCCAGCGUUCUUGGGCUCGCCUCCUGCAACUGGAGGCGCCAACGAGGAAUUCCUAGUAGACGCAGGUCAUCAACCUGCAUCGAUUACGUCCCUGCCCUUUGUACACACCGCCCGUCGUUCCAUAAGAGUGAGGCAUCCGGUGAAUUCUCGGGAGAGCCUGGGCGUGGCCAGCAAUGGUCUGCUCGGGUUUGAACUUGCAUAAACUUGGUGCCUAUGAUUAGAG
Molecule: ribosomal RNA, 1264 nt
Filed under: metagenome
Description: SSU rRNA
Rfam family: Eukaryotic small subunit ribosomal RNA
Source: RNAcentral